This 360-nucleotide long non-coding RNA is filed under the name Ananas comosus (pineapple). Its description in RNAcentral is "long non-coding RNA (ACOM_LNC030231)". Lineage: Eukaryota; Viridiplantae; Streptophyta; Magnoliopsida; Poales; Bromeliaceae. The record is from RNAcentral.
AUGUUGAGUCGAGUCAUGUUCGAAAUGGUGUGAGGCUGGGUGGGCCAAGUCAUAUUCAAAGUGGCAUAAGGUUGGUUGGGCCGAAUCACAAUCGAGGCUCGUUGGCGCUGUAUCUGUACACGUUAAGUGAAUUGGUUGCGUAUUUCUAACAGCUCGAGUUUUUAGGAUUAAUGAUUACCGCCAACGAUCCGACACACAGCUCAUACUAGUGCAAUUUCUGCCGUUCACAGUGCAAUGUAGUGUCAACCAGUGCAACAUAUCACUCCCCGACCAGUCAAUUUUCUUCCUUUCCACACGAUCGUCCCCUCUCCAGCAUCCUGUGCUACUUACCCUAUUUCUAAGCCCCUCAUCCUCCUCCAU